ACGCACGCUGGCGGCGUGCUUAACACCUGCCAGUCGAACGGAAAGGCCCUGCUUGCUGGGUCCUCGAGUGGCGAACGGGUGAGUAACACGUUGUUUAUCUGCCCUGCACUUCGGGAUAAUCCUGGGUAACUGGUUCUAAUACCGGCUAGGAGCCAUUUUUAGUGUUUUGGUUGGAUAGUUUUUUCGGUUUAGGAUUGGCUCGCGGCCUAUCAGCUUGUUGGUGGGGUAAUGGCCUACCAAGGCGGCGACGGGUAGCCGGCCUGAGAGGGUGGACGGCCACAUUGGGACUGAGAUACGGCCCAGACUGCUACGGGAGGCAGCAGUGGGGAAUAGUGCAAAAUGGGCGCAAGCAUGAUGCAGCGAAGCCGCGUGGGGGAUGACGGCCUGCGGGUUGUAAACACAUUUAGAUAGGGACGAAGCUUUUGUGACGGUAACUAGAGAAGAAGCAACGGCUAACUACGUG
RNAcentral lists this ribosomal RNA (463 nucleotides) under uncultured bacterium. RNAcentral's name for it is "partial 16S ribosomal RNA". It matches the Rfam family "Bacterial small subunit ribosomal RNA", at positions 29 to 507 of the family's 1533-position model. The record is from RNAcentral.